RNAcentral lists this ribosomal RNA (487 nucleotides) under Gallotia goliath (giant Canary Island lizard). RNAcentral describes it as "partial 12S ribosomal RNA". It matches the Rfam family "Bacterial small subunit ribosomal RNA", at positions 773 to 1486 of the family's 1533-position model. The record is from RNAcentral. Lineage: Eukaryota; Metazoa; Chordata; Lepidosauria; Squamata; Lacertidae.
UAGGAUUAGAUACCCUACUAUGCUAAGCCAUAAACAUUGACAGUUAUAAAUACAAUACUUUCCGCCAGAGAACUACAAGUGAAAAACUUAAAACUCAAAGGACUUGGCGGUGUCCCAUAUUCGACCUAGAGGAGCCUGUCCUAUAAUCGAUACUCCCCGCUCUACCUUACCAGCACUAGCAGACUCAGCCUAUAUACCGCCGUCGACAGCUUACCCCCUGAGGGUCAAACAGUAAGCAUAAUAGUCCUAUCACUAAUACGUCAGGUCAAGGUGUAGCUAAUGUGCUGGCAGAGAUUGGCUACAUUUUUUAUCUUAAAAAACACGAAAUGCUACAUGAAAAACAGCAUGAAGGCGAAUUUAGUAGUAAAACAAACAAGAGAGUCUGUUUUAACAACGCUCUGGGACGCGUACACACCGCCCGUCACCCUCCUCAACAACAAUAAAAAAAUCCAUAAACAACCACACCAUUAAAACAGAUGAGGUAAGU